This 484-nucleotide ribosomal RNA is filed under the name uncultured bacterium. RNAcentral's name for it is "partial 16S ribosomal RNA". It matches the Rfam family "Bacterial small subunit ribosomal RNA", at positions 30 to 507 of the family's 1533-position model. The record is from RNAcentral.
AUUGAACGCUGGCGGCAGGCCUAACACAUGCCAGUCGAGCGGAUGAAGGGAGCUUGCUCCUGGAUUCAGCGGCGGACGGGUGAGUAAUGCCUAGGAAUCUGCCUGGUAGUGGGGGAUAACGUCCGGAAACGGGCGCUAAUACCGCAUACGUCCUGAGGGAGAAAGUGGGGGAUCUUCGGACCUCACGCUAUCAGAUGAGCCUAGGUCGGAUUAGCUAGUUGGUGGGGUAAAGGCCUACCAAGGCGACGAUCCGUAACUGGUCUGAGAGGAUGAUCAGUCACACUAGAACUGAGACAAGGUCCAGACUCCUACGGGAGGCAGCAGUGGGGAAUAUUGGACAAUGGGCGAAAGCCUGAUCCAGCCAUGCCGCGUGUGUGAAGAAGGUCUUCGGAAUGUAAAGCACUUUAAGUUGGGAGGAAGGGCAGUAAGUUAAUACCUUGCUGUUUUGACGUUACCAACAGAAUAAGCACCGGCUAACUUCGUG